This 1449-nucleotide long non-coding RNA is filed under the name Canis lupus familiaris (dog). RNAcentral's name for it is "lncRNA (ENSCAFG00040011707.1)". The record is from RNAcentral. Lineage: Eukaryota; Metazoa; Chordata; Mammalia; Carnivora; Canidae.
GGGAAACUCUGCGCUGCCACAGUCCAUCCACCUCUAAGACAAGUUAGAGGCAAGACUGAGCACCUCAGACAUCUUAUUGCUAGUUGAAUCUCACCUCCAGGGAGACCACUGCAAUUCUACAGGAGCAACGGGCAGUUUGUCCAGCCUGGAGAAAGCCAGGGGAAAGCAUAGGACAUCCCUGCAGUCUGGGGGUCCUUCGGCUUCUGUGAUGCGCGGUGCAGAGGCAGGAGAGCGCUGCAAACCCGCAGCCCGGGGGGGUGGGGGGAGUGUGUGUGGGGGUGUGGGGGGCGGAGGGGGCUCCCCCCUCCCCGCCCCACACUAACACCUGGUCCCUUCUCCGCUCGGUCAGGGGCCUGGCUGCGCCACUGCUCAGCGCCCCGGCUUAGGCAAGAAUUGGAGCAACUGGGGGAACUGGCGAGGAGCCUGAGUCAUUUAUGUGCAUUUAAAGCUAUCUUUGGAUGCAGCCCUGCUAAAGCACAAGGUAGUCUGAUGAUGAAGUACUUCACCCAUUUGCACUUGUUUAGAAGAAUACCCUCCACUUCUCCGCAGUGUACUUCUCAAGUAAAGCAAGUUGGAUAUUGGCUCCUACGUUGCCCUUUGUGUACAAUUUCUUUUGACUCUUAAUCAUCCUGGCAGCAAGUGUGUUCAACAUGAACUGGACCACACAUGGUGUCUUUGCAUAUUCUGUGCAUAUUCUGUCUCCAAGGAUUUGGAAAAAUCUCAAAGUCAGUGCUAGAAAAAGAAACGUAGUAAAACAAGAUUGGGGAAAUAAAAAAGUCAGUUACUUAGGAAAAUAUGCCCAAUUAUAAUAUAAUCUGCACAGUACGUACCAUAAGUAUUUUAGAAAUAAUGCAAUGUUGUCUGUAGGGAGAGAUGAAUGUUGCAACUAAAUAGUUUCUGAAGAGCAAACAUAAAUAAAUGUACUGACUCUUAAGACCUUGGCAUAGAGCGUACAAUAAUGAGUUGUUUUGACAAGUCCAAAAAAUGUUUCUGUCUCUCCUCUUUCCUAUGAUUUGGCAACUUCUUUACCUCAUAUUGAUUUGUUCCUCAUUUCCCUUGCAACAAAAUUUACCUUCUUGUAAACAUAUCAUCUGAUAUUCUUUCCACAAAGACUAUUUCUAGAGCCUCUACCUUCUUCCUAAAUGAUUUACUACUUUUUCGUUCCUUUUAUUAUUCCUCCCUCCACUGAAAAACCAAAACCAAACCCAAAAAUUUAACCAGCACAGAAUAGAAUAUUACAUUUUUCCAAACUAUCCAGACGAUGAAGACAAUGAUGGGUGUAGAGUUCUGUGUGGAUGGCUGUCUCAGCCUUACAAGAUGGAUAGUAAUGGGUCUCCUUUCAACCUCAAGCCUCUGUCUCUAAAACAAUCUCCAAGUCCAUCCUUGUAACAGAAUUGCUAAUAACUGCUCUUCCUGCAUCUCCAUGUCACAGUGGGUUGACCUACUUCU